CCUGUUGUGUACCACCAAGGCUCCGCGGCUGCGCUCAGAGUGGCCUCCUACUUUCCAUUCCUGUACUCUGCUUUGAGCGUUUUUGGGGUUGUUCCGACUCCGAUCAGAGAUUCCGUGUAUGAUUAUGUUGUGAAACACCGCUAUGACUGGUUCAGGAAGGAGAAUGAUUGUUUGGUUUUGCAAGAGAAGGAAAUGCUCGACCGAUUCAUCGACAGAGAAGAAAUCAUGGGUCGGGAAGUAUCGGAUUCGUAGUGAGUUCUCAGAACCAAAUCGGCUUUGUCUUCUUCUCUCUUGUGACUCACUCUUUUGAUCUUAAGGGAACGCAAAAAAAGAAAAGAAAGAAAAACGACUCCAGCUCUUCCUUGGUGACACAAUCUUGAUUAAGGUUUGGUUUAUUCUUUUUUCUUUUUUCU
Long non-coding RNA from Humulus lupulus (European hop), 413 nucleotides. RefSeq lists it as uncharacterized. NCBI's taxonomy places the organism in Eukaryota, Viridiplantae, Streptophyta, Magnoliopsida, Rosales, Cannabaceae. The transcript has 3 exons. The record is from RefSeq and is a predicted model, not a curated record.